RNAcentral lists this unclassified non-coding RNA (310 nucleotides) under plant metagenome. RNAcentral describes it as "partial contains 5.8S ribosomal RNA, internal transcribed spacer 2, and large subunit ribosomal RNA". The stretch from base 1 to 106 matches the Rfam family "5.8S ribosomal RNA", at positions 49 to 154 of the family's 154-position model. The record is from RNAcentral.
CGAAAUGCGAUAAGUAGUGUGAAUUGCAGAAUUCAGUGAAUCAUCGAAUCUUUGAACGCACAUUGCGCCCCUUGGUAUUCCAUGGGGCAUGCCUGUUCGAGCGUCAUUUGUACCCUCAAGCUCUGCUUGGUGUUGGGUGUUUGUCCCGUCUCCGCGCGUGGACUCGCCCCAAAGUGAUUGGCAGCCGGCGUACUGGUCCCGGAGCGCAGCACAUGUCGCGCAAACGAGUGCCUUGGUACGGCGGCGUCCAUAAGCCCCUCUCUCACGCUCUUGACCUCGGAUCAGGUAGGGAUACCCGCUGAACUUAAGC